UUAGCUGACUCACUCAGGCUCCUACAGGCAGUGAGCUGCAAAGCAGACUGGAGUGAAGCGUCCUAGCUCCAAGCUCAGUGCUCAGUUACUAACAACAAUGGCAACGAUUUGUCGAGGACAGUCAUGUAUCUCCUAACGACGGGGAUACUACCUAGGAAACGUGCUGCUUGGCAAAGAGCACUUAUACAAACCCACACGCUACAGCGACUGCACACCCAGGCUAUGUGAUACAGCCUGUCGCUCCCAGGCUGCAAACCUGCACAGCAUGUGAUGUGGUGGAAUACUGAACUGAAUGCUGAAUACUGUAGGCAAUUGUAACAUAAUGUUUCCUUAGGCCCUGCCCUGGUGAAGAUGGCUGUUUGCUGGGUCACGCGAAGACAAAAGCCAGGACACAGGCCCCAGCCCUGCUAAACACUGCAGUGACUCUGCUCCAGGCUACCUCCUGUGGGAAUCUGCUUCACUUCACAGACGACCCCAGCAUCUUCAUUGAGGUCCAUGAAUGGACAUAGUUUCCAGGAUUUUUUGUGACCCAGGAAACCCGAACUCUCAUCAAAAAUGAAUAAGUAAAAGGAGGGAUGGGUAAGAAAAUUCUAAAAUCUUCUUUCUGAGUCAUUAACGUUCACUUGAAAUUUGUCGUCACUAUUUCCUACUUCCCUAGCAAAUUCCAACCUGAGUAGCGUAGGUGAUGGCACUAAGCCCUAGGAUGGAAAAAGCGCAAUUAAGCUCUGUAUUGGUCUGUUCUCUCACUGCUAAUAAAGACAUACACCUGAUACUGAAUAA
Molecule: long non-coding RNA, 780 nt
Organism: Callithrix jacchus (white-tufted-ear marmoset)
Lineage: Eukaryota; Metazoa; Chordata; Mammalia; Primates; Cebidae
Source: RefSeq, a predicted model, not a curated record